This 406-nucleotide ribosomal RNA is filed under the name Vibrio parahaemolyticus. Its description in RNAcentral is "bacterial SSU rRNA". It matches the Rfam family "Bacterial small subunit ribosomal RNA", at positions 400 to 798 of the family's 1533-position model. The record is from RNAcentral. Lineage: Bacteria; Pseudomonadati; Pseudomonadota; Gammaproteobacteria; Vibrionales; Vibrionaceae.
CGUGUGUGAAGAGCUAGCUCGGGUUGUAAAGCACUUUCAGUCGUGAGGAAGGUAGUGUAGUUAAUAGCUGCAUUAUUUGACGUUAGCGACAGAAGAAGCACCGGCUAACUCCGUGCCAGCAGCCGCGGUAAUACGGAGGGUGCGAGCGUUAAUCGGAAUUACUGGGCGUAAAGCGCAUGCAGGUGGUUUGCCAAGUCAGAUGUGAAAGCCCGGGGCUCAACCUCGGAAUUGCAUUUGAAACUGGCAGACUAGAGUACUGUAGAGGGGGGUAGAAUUUCAGGUGUAGCGGUGAAAUGCGUAGAGAUCUGAAGGAAUACCGGUGGCGAAGGCGGCCCCCUGGACAGAUACUGACACGACUAUGCGAAAGCGUGGGGAGCAAACAGGAUUAGAUACCCUGGUCUGACAC